AAAGAACACGAGUAGAGGAUAAAAGAACACGAGUAGAGGAUAAAAGAACACGAAUAGACGAUAAAAGAACACGAGUAGAGGAUAAAAGAACACGAGUAGAGGAUAAAAGAACACGAGUAGACGAUAAAAGAACACGAGUAGAGACGAUAAAAGAACACGAGUAGAGACGAUAAAAGAACACGAGUAGAGGAUAAAAGAACACGAGUAGAGGAUAAAAGAACACGAGUAGAGGAUAAAAGAACACGAGUAGAGGAUAAAAGAACACGAGUAGAGGAUAAAAGAACACGAGUAGAGACGAUAAAAGAACACGAGUAGAGGAUAAAAGAACACGAGUAGAGACGAUAAAAGAACACGAGUAGAGGAUAAAAGAACACGAGUAGAGGAUAAAAGAACACGAGUAGAGGAUAAAAGAACACGAGUAGAGGAUAAAAGAACACGAGUAGAGGAUAAAAGAACACGAGUAGAGACGAUAAAAGAACACGAGUAGAGGAUAAAAGAACACGAGUAGAGGAUAAAAGAACACGAGUAGAGGAUAAAAGAACACGAGUAGAGGAUAAAAGAAGACGAGUAGAG
Molecule: long non-coding RNA, 573 nt
Organism: Ictalurus punctatus (channel catfish)
Lineage: Eukaryota; Metazoa; Chordata; Actinopteri; Siluriformes; Ictaluridae
Source: Ensembl